RNAcentral lists this ribosomal RNA (253 nucleotides) under uncultured bacterium. Its description in RNAcentral is "partial 16S ribosomal RNA". It matches the Rfam family "Bacterial small subunit ribosomal RNA", at positions 524 to 776 of the family's 1533-position model. The record is from RNAcentral.
GACGUAGGGCGCGAGCGUUGUCCGGAUUUAUUGGGCGUAAAGAGCUCGUAGGCGGCUUGUUGCGUCGACCGUGAAAACCCGCGGCUUAACCGUGGGCUUGCGGUCGAUACGGGCGGGCUGGAGUUCGGUAGGGGAGACUGGAAUUCCUGGUGUAGCGGUGGAAUGCGCAGAUAUCAGGAGGAACACCGGUGGCGAAGGCGGCUUGCUGGGCCUUACCUGACGCUGAGGAGCGAAGGCGUGUGGAGCGAACAGG